AACGAACGCUGGCGGCAUGCCUAACACAUGCAAGUCGAACGAGACCUUCGGGUCUAGUGGCGCACGGGUGCGUAACGCGUGGGAACCUGCCCUUAGGUUCGGAAUAACUCCCCGAAAGAGGUGCUAAUACCGGAUAAUGUCUUCGGACCAAAGAUUUAUCGCCUUUGGAUGGGCCCGCGUUGGAUUAGCUAGUUGGUAGGGUAAAAGCCUACCAAGGCGACGAUCCAUAGCUGGUCUGAGAGGAUGAUCAGCCACACUGGGACUGAGACACGGCCCAGACUCCUACGGGAGGCAGCAGUGGGGAAUAUUGGACAAUGGGCGAAAGCCUGAUCCAGCAAUGCCGCGUGAGUGAUGAAGGCCUUAGGGUUGUAAAGCUCUUUUACCCGGGAUGAUAAUGACAGUACCGGGAGAAUAAGCUCCGGCUAACUCCGUG
Molecule: ribosomal RNA, 433 nt
Filed under: uncultured bacterium
Lineage: Bacteria
Description: partial 16S ribosomal RNA
Rfam family: Bacterial small subunit ribosomal RNA
Source: RNAcentral